AACGAACGCUGGCGGCAUGCCUAACACAUGCAAGUCGAACGAGACCUUCGGGUCGAGUGGCGCACGGGUGCGUAACGCGUGGGAACCUGCCCUUAGGUUCGGAAUAACUCCCCGAAAGGGGUGCUAAUACCGGAUAAUGUCUUCGGACCAAAGAUUUAUCGCCUUUGGAUGGGCCCGCGUUGGAUUAGCUAGUUGGUAGGGUAAAAGCCUACCAAGGCGACGAUCCAUAGCGGGUCUGAGAGGAUGAUCAGCGACACUGGGACUGAGACACGGCCCAGACUCCUACGGGAGGCAGCAGUGGGGAAUAUUGGACAAUGGGCGAAAGCCUGAUCCAGCAAUGCCGCGUGAGUGAUGAAGGCCUUAGGGUCGUAAAGCUCUUUUACCCGGGAUGAUAAUGACAGUACCGGGAGAAUAAGCUCCGGCUAACUCCGUG
RNAcentral lists this ribosomal RNA (433 nucleotides) under uncultured bacterium. Its description in RNAcentral is "partial 16S ribosomal RNA". It matches the Rfam family "Bacterial small subunit ribosomal RNA", at positions 29 to 507 of the family's 1533-position model. The record is from RNAcentral.